UGGCUCAGAACGAACGCUGGCGGCAGGCCUAACACAUGCAAGUCGAGCGCCGUAGCAAUACGGAGCGGCAGACGGGAGAGUAACACGUGGGAACGUGCCCUUCAGUUCGGAACAACCCAGGGAAACUUGGGCUAAUACCGGAUACGUCCGUAAGGAGAAAGAUUUAUCGCUGAAGGAUCGGCCCGCGUCUGAUUAGCUAGUUGGUGAGGUAACGGCUCACCAAGGCGACGAUCAGUAGCUGGUCUGAGAGGAUGAUCAGCCUCACUGGGACUGAGACACGGCCCAGAGAUCCUACGGGAGGCAGCAGUGGG
Molecule: ribosomal RNA, 311 nt
Filed under: uncultured Hyphomicrobiales bacterium
Lineage: Bacteria; Pseudomonadati; Pseudomonadota; Alphaproteobacteria; Hyphomicrobiales
Description: bacterial SSU rRNA
Rfam family: Bacterial small subunit ribosomal RNA
Source: RNAcentral